Molecule: small RNA, 742 nt
Filed under: Lysipomia glandulifera
Lineage: Eukaryota; Viridiplantae; Streptophyta; Magnoliopsida; Asterales; Campanulaceae
Description: eukaryotic LSU rRNA
Rfam family: 5.8S ribosomal RNA (bases 295-450)
Source: RNAcentral
UUUCCGUAGGUGAACCUGCGGAAGGAUCAUUGUCGAAACCUGCCCCAAAAGCAGAACGACCCGCGAACGCGUUCUCAUCACAUUCUUUAAGUCCGUCCCCGAACGAACUCGUUCGCUCGUGGGACGGCGCCUAACGAACCCCGGCGCGAACCGCGCCAAGGAAUACAUGAUCGUAAACUCGAAGGAGCAAAGCUGGGGAGUCGCGCUCCUCCGUCCCCCGCCCGUUCGCGGGCGCCGGGCUCGGUGCCGCUUCUUCCUUCGCGGAACCUUCCUUCCGAGCGAAAAACACAAAACGACUCUCGACAACGGAUAUCUCGGCUCUCGCAUCGAUGAAGAACGUAGCAAAAUGCGAUACUUGGUGUGAAUUGCAGAAUCCCGUGAACCAUCGAGUCUUUGAACGCAAGUUGCGCCCGAAGCCUUUAGGCCGAGGGCACGUCUGCAUGGGCGUCACGCAUCGCGUCGCCCCCCCGCACCGUGCAUAUUCGUUUCGGUCGGGGGAGCGGAUAUUGGCCUCCCGUGCCCCUCGCGGGCGCGGCUGGCUCAAAACGGAGUCCCCGACGGAGGACGCACGACGAGUGGUGGUUUGGUUUAUCUCGAAUCCGAUUUCCCGUCGUGCGCAAGUCCCGCGUCGGUGCCGGCUCGAAACGACCCUAUUUAGCGCCGCCCGCUCCGUCCGAGAGGACGAAUCGAUCGGCGCUUCGACCGCGACCCCAUGUCAGGCGGGACUACCCGCUGAGUUUAA